AGAGUUUGAUCAUGGCUCAGGAUGAACGCUGGCGGCGUGCUUAACACAUGCAAGUCGAACGGAGUUUUUAAACGGAAGUUUUCGGAUGGAAGUUUAGAAACUUAGUGGCGGACGGGUGGAGUAACGCGUGGGUAACCUGCCUCAUACAGGGGGAUAACAGUUAGAAAUGACUGCUAACACCGCAUAAUAUAGCGAAACCGCAUGAUUUUGCUAUCAAAUAUUUAUAGGUAUGAGAUGGGCCCGCGUCUGAUUAGCUAGUUGGUGGGGUAAAAGCCUACCAAGGCGACGAUCAGUAGCCGGCUUGAGAGAGUGACCGGCCACAUUGGGACUGAGACACGGCCCAAACUCCUACGGGAGGCAGCAGUGGGGAAUAUUGGACAAUGGGGGAAACCCUGAUCCAGUCCGACGCCGCGUGAGUGAAGAAGUAUUUCGGUAUGUAAAGCUCUAUCAGCAGGGAAGAUAACGACAGUACCUGACUAAGAAGCCCCGGCUAACUACGUGCCAGCCGCUGC
This 512-nucleotide ribosomal RNA is filed under the name uncultured bacterium. RNAcentral describes it as "bacterial SSU rRNA". It matches the Rfam family "Bacterial small subunit ribosomal RNA", at positions 8 to 518 of the family's 1533-position model. The record is from RNAcentral.